UACGGAGGAUGCAAGCGUUAUCCGGAAUGAUUGGGCGUAAAGCGUCCGCAGGUGGCAAUGUAAGUCUGCUGUUAAAGAGUCUAGCUCAACUAGAUAAGAGCAGUGGAAACUACAUAGCUAGAGUACGUUCGGGGCAGAGGGAAUUCCAGGUGUAGCGGUGAAAUGCGUAGAUAUCUGGAAGAACACCAGUGGCGAAGGCGCUCUACUGGGCCGUAACUGACACUGAGGGACGAAAGCUAGGGGAGCGAAAGGG
This 253-nucleotide ribosomal RNA is filed under the name uncultured bacterium. RNAcentral describes it as "partial 16S ribosomal RNA". It matches the Rfam family "Bacterial small subunit ribosomal RNA", at positions 524 to 776 of the family's 1533-position model. The record is from RNAcentral.